CCUGAUGCGCAUCGUAGAAGCUGACAGAUGCAUGGGGACAACAUUAGCUCGGCUGCUGGCAUAGAUCCUGAGGAGAGCUUUUGUGUAAUUUCUGCCCAUGCCCCUCGAAUUGUGCACAGCCAUGUAUAAGAGGCUUAUACAUGUCUCACUUGCCUCUUGUCAUCACUCUGAGUCUGACACAUCCACGCCUACCUCCUGGAAAGCAUUCCUGAUCUGCCAGACAGUUUUUGAUGAUAAAGACGUGUGUUCUGCUUCGAUGAAUGUGAGAUACAGUAGCAAACUGCGAAAGG
Long non-coding RNA from Esox lucius (northern pike), 290 nucleotides. RefSeq lists it as uncharacterized. The record is from RefSeq and is a predicted model, not a curated record. The transcript is spliced from 3 exons. NCBI's taxonomy places the organism in Eukaryota, Metazoa, Chordata, Actinopteri, Esociformes, Esocidae.